GUGGUCCUGACGGAAAAGUAGUAUCAACAAGAACCCUCCACUUUUUCGACCAAGUUAUCGUCAUGAGAUCCUUCUGAUGGCUUCUUACUAGGCUAUGCCGCUCCGAAGCAUUGAGAUGACGAAGCGUCGUGGUAGCUGCACCUCUGCCUUCGAAAGAUGAAUCAGUCAUUCCACACUGUGCUUACUGGCUUUGUGUAGAGUCUGGCAAAUCCGACAGACUUGGACUGCCUUUUUCAAGAAAGUUUGAAAUAGCAUCCCUUAUGCACCUGCAUUUCAAUUCCAAUCUGUAUUACAAGAAUGACAGACCACUCAACAGAGAUGAACAUCUGAAAGUGAAAGAGCUGGAAUGAAGAUACGUUAAUCUGUGUCAAAGGUUCUUAGUAUGUGUGCGAGUCAAGAACAUAGGUCUCAAGCUUAUUCCUGUCUUCAGAAGAGGUGACAACUAUGCUCCUUCUAUCUAUUAACCAGCUCCACUUUUUAGGGUUCCCUGUAAACUAAUGGAGCACAUCAUGUACUACCACGUUGUCAACUAAGUUGACUCUGUCAAUUUCUUUUUUUAAAUUCCAGCAUGGCUUUAGAAAAGGGUA
Long non-coding RNA from Ornithodoros turicata, 587 nucleotides. RefSeq lists it as uncharacterized. Lineage: Eukaryota; Metazoa; Arthropoda; Arachnida; Ixodida; Argasidae. The transcript has 3 exons. The record is from RefSeq and is a predicted model, not a curated record.